UUUGGGUUUCCUCGCAGCUAAUGAGCGUGAACCCCGUCAGGUCCGGAAGGAAGCAGCGGCAUCGUUAAUUUAGUGUGCCGAGUUCAAGCUCUUAGAG
Molecule: signal recognition particle RNA, 97 nt
Filed under: Legionellales bacterium
Lineage: Bacteria; Pseudomonadati; Pseudomonadota; Gammaproteobacteria; Legionellales
Description: signal recognition particle sRNA small type
Rfam family: Bacterial small signal recognition particle RNA
About the family: The signal recognition particle (SRP) is a universally conserved ribonucleoprotein involved in the co-translational targeting of proteins to membranes. Archaeal SRP consists of a 7S RNA and homologues of the eukaryotic SRP19 and SRP54 proteins.
Source: RNAcentral